RNAcentral lists this ribosomal RNA (468 nucleotides) under uncultured bacterium. RNAcentral's name for it is "partial 16S ribosomal RNA". It matches the Rfam family "Bacterial small subunit ribosomal RNA", at positions 28 to 507 of the family's 1533-position model. The record is from RNAcentral.
GACGAACGCUGGCGGCGUGCUUAACACAUGCAAGUCGAACGGAAAGGCCCUGCUUUUGUGGGGUGCUCGAGUGGCGAACGGGUGAGUAACACGUGAGUAACCUGCCCUUGACUUUGGGAUAACUUCAGGAAACUGGGGCUAAUACCGGAUAGGCGCUCCUGCUGCAUGGUGGGGGUUGGAAAGUUUCGGCGGUUGGGGAUGGACUCGCGGCUUAUCAGCUUGUUGGUGGGGUAGUGGCUUACCAAGGCUUUGACGGGUAGCCGGCCUGAGAGGGUGACCGGCCACAUUGGGACUGAGAUACGGCCCAGACUCCUACGGGAGGCAGCAGUGGGGAAUAUUGCACAAUGGGCGGAAGCCUGAUGCAGCAACGCCGCGUGCGGGAUGACGGCCUUCGGGUUGUAAACCGCUUUCGCCUGUGAUGAAGCGUGAGUGACGGUAAUGGGUAAAGAAGCACCGGCUAACUACGUG